This 555-nucleotide ribosomal RNA is filed under the name Aqaballianassa sp. PNG-1166. Its description in RNAcentral is "partial large subunit ribosomal RNA". It matches the Rfam family "Archaeal large subunit ribosomal RNA", at positions 1917 to 2694 of the family's 2987-position model. Lineage: Eukaryota; Metazoa; Arthropoda; Malacostraca; Decapoda; Callianassidae. The record is from RNAcentral. RNAcentral also lists the same sequence under 1 other name.
GUCCGUUUGAAAAUACUCUAACCGGUCUAACCUGCCCACUGAUUUCUAUUUAAAGGCCGCGGUAUUAUAACCGUGCAAAGGUAGCAUAAUAAUUAGUCUUUUAAUUGAAGACUGGAAUGAAAGGUUGAACAAAAAGUAACCUGUCCUAAAUUUUCUUAUUUAACUUAACUUCUAAGUGAAAAGGCUUAGAUUUUCUUAAAAGACGACAAGACCCUAUAAAACUUUUCUAUAUAAACAUAAUUUCAUCCUAUAUUUAUAAAUUAAUAUAAGCUUAAUUUUAAUAUAUUUAGUUGGGGCGACAAAAGUAGAACCUAAUAAUUCUAUCUGCUUUUUAAUUUUCUACAUUUAUUUUUGUUUAUACGAUGACCCUUUUUUAAGACCAAAAGAAAAAGUUACUUUAGGGAUAACAGCGUAAUUUUUUUUUAGAGUUCCCAUCGACAAAAAAGUUUGCGACCUCGAUGUUGAAUUAGAGUCCUUCUUAUAAUGCAGCAAUUAUAAAGCUAGGUCUGUUCGACCUUUAAAACUCUACAUGAUUUGAGUUCAAACCGGCGCGAG